Molecule: ribosomal RNA, 892 nt
Filed under: uncultured bacterium
Lineage: Bacteria
Description: bacterial SSU rRNA
Rfam family: Bacterial small subunit ribosomal RNA
Source: RNAcentral
AGAGUUUGAUCAUGGCUCAGGAUAAACGCUGGCGGCGUGCUUUAUGCAUGCAAGUCGAACGGUUCUUCUGUCUUCGGAUUGAAGGAUAGUGGCAAACGGGUGAGUAACACGUAAGUAACCUACCCCUAAGUAGGGGAUAACUCUGAGAAAUCGGAGCUAAUACCGUAUGUGGUCAUUCACCACAAGGUGAGGGACUAAAGCCUUAGGGUGCUUGGGGAGGGGCUUGCGUCCGAUUAGCUAGUUGGUAGAGUAAUGGUUUACCAAGGCGGUGAUCGGUAGCUGGUCUGAGAGGAUGUACAGCCACACUGGGACUGAGACACGGCCCAGACUCCUACGGGAGGCAGCAGCAAGGAAUUUUGUGCAAUGGGCGAAAGCCUGACACAGCGACGCCGCGUGGGGGAUGAAGGCCCUAGGGUCGUAAACCCCUUUUCUCAGGGAGGAAUAAUGACAGUACCUGAGGAAUAAGUCACGGCUAACUACGUGCCAGCAGCCGCGGUAAAACGUAGGUGGCGAGCGUUAUCCGGAUUUAUUGGGCGUAAAGAGGGCGCAGGCGGCUUUUUAAGUUAGGUGUAAAAUGUCCCAGCUUAACUGGGAAGGAACAUCUAAUACUGUUAAGCUAGAGGGCAACAGAAGGAGGUAGAAUUCCCGGUGUAGUGGUGAAAUGCGUAGAUAUCGGGAGGAAUACCAGUGGCGAAGGCGGCCUCCUAGGUUGUUACUGACGCUUAAGCCCGAAAGCGUGGGGAGCAAACAGGAUUAGAUACCCUGUAGUCCACGCUGUAAACUAUGGACACUGGGUAUAGGGGGUAUCGACCCUCUCUGUGCCGAAGCUAACGCGUUAAGUGUCCCGUCUGGGGACUACGGCCGCAAGGCUAAAACUCAAAUGAAUUGACGG